RNAcentral lists this transfer RNA (74 nucleotides) under Candidatus Aminicenantes bacterium RBG_16_63_16. Its description in RNAcentral is "tRNA-Arg". It matches the Rfam family "tRNA". Rfam says of the family: Transfer RNA (tRNA) molecules are approximately 80 nucleotides in length. Their secondary structure includes four short double-helical elements and three loops (D, anti-codon, and T loops). The record is from RNAcentral. Lineage: Bacteria; Candidatus Aminicenantota. RNAcentral also lists the same sequence under 1 other name.
GCGCCCGUAGCUCAGCUGGAUAGAGCGACUGACUACGAAUCAGUAGGUCGGCGGUUCGAGCCCGUCCGGGCGCA